UGCAGUCGAGGGGUAAUCACACUUUCGGGUGUGAACGACCGGCGCACGGGUGCGUAACGCGUUAUGCAACCUACCCACAACUGGGGGAUAGCCCGGAGAAAUCCGGAUUAAUACCCCAUAAUGCAGGGGUACUGCAUGGUACUAUUUGCUAAAGAUUUAUCGGUUGUGGAUGGGCAUGCGUCUGAUUAGUUAGUUGGUGAGGUAACGGCUCACCAAGGCGACGAUCAGUAGGGGGUCUGAGAGGAUGAUCCCCCACACUGGUACUGAGAUACGGACCAGACUCCUACGGGAGGCAGCAGUAGGGAAUAUUGGUCAAUGGGCGGAAGCCUGAACCAGCCAUGCCGCGUGCAGGAUGACGGCCUUCUGGGUUGUAAACUGCUUUUAUCAGGGAAGAAAACGGUCAUGCGUGACAGAUUGACGGUACCUGAAGAAUAAGCACCGGCUAACUCCGUGCCANCAGCCGCGGUAAUACGGAGGGUGCAAGCGUUGUCCGGAUUUAUUGGGUUUAAAGGGUGCGUAGGCGGAUUAUUAAGUCAGUGGUGAAAGUUUGCGGCUCAACCGUAAAAGUGCCAUUGAUACUGGUAGUCUUGAG
This 592-nucleotide ribosomal RNA is filed under the name uncultured Sphingobacteriia bacterium. RNAcentral describes it as "bacterial SSU rRNA". It matches the Rfam family "Bacterial small subunit ribosomal RNA", at positions 56 to 646 of the family's 1533-position model. Lineage: Bacteria; Pseudomonadati; Bacteroidota; Sphingobacteriia. The record is from RNAcentral.